GGGGAUUUAGCUCAGUGGUAGAGUGCUUGCCUAGCAGUCGCAAGGCCCUGGGUUCGAUCCCCAGCUCCG
Non-coding RNA from Rattus norvegicus (Norway rat), 69 nucleotides. The record is from Rfam. NCBI's taxonomy places the organism in Eukaryota, Metazoa, Chordata, Mammalia, Rodentia, Muridae.